This 1052-nucleotide ribosomal RNA is filed under the name uncultured bacterium. RNAcentral describes it as "bacterial SSU rRNA". It matches the Rfam family "Bacterial small subunit ribosomal RNA", at positions 43 to 1064 of the family's 1533-position model. The record is from RNAcentral.
CGUGCUUAACACAUGCAAGUCGUACGAGAACACCCUAGCUUGCUAGGGUAAGUAAAGUGGCGCACGGGUGAGUAACGCGUGGGUAAUCUACCUUCGAAUUGGGGAUAACGUUGCGAAAGCGACGCUAAUACCGAAUAACAUCCUUAGAAUCUCGGUUUUUAGGAUCAAAGGUGGCCUCUACAUGUAAGCUACUGUUUGAAGAUGAGCCCGCGUACCAUUAGCUUGUUGGUAGGGUAAUGGCCUACCAAGGCAACGAUGGUUAGCUGGUCUGAGAGGAUGAUCAGCCACACUGGAACUGACACACGGUCCAGACUCCUACGGGAGGCAGCAGUGAGGAAUUUUGCGCAAUGGGGGAAACCCUGACGCAGCAACGCCGCGUGAGUGAUGAAGGCUUUCGGGUCGUAAAGCUCUGUCAAGUGGGAAGAAUCUGCAGUAUGUUAAUAUCAUAUUGCACUGACGGUACCACUGAAGGAAGCACCGGCUAACUCCGUGCCAGCAGCCGCGGUAAUACGGGGGGUGCAAGCGUUAUUCGGAAUCAUUGGGCGUAAAGAGCACGUAGGCGGCUUGGUAAGUCAGAUGUGAAAGCCCGGGGCUUAACCCCGGAAGUGCAUUUGAUACUGUCAAGCUUGAGUAUGGGAGAGGGAAGUGGAAUUCCUGGUGUAGAGGUGAAAUUCGUAGGUAUCAGGAGGAACACCGGUGGCGAAGGCGACUUCCUGGACCAAUACUGACGCUGAGGUGCGAAGGCGUGGGUAGCAAACAGGAUUAGAUACCCUGGUAGUCCACGCAGUAAACGUUGUUCACUAGGUGUAGCGGGUAUUGACCCCUGCUGUGCCGCAGUUAACGCAUUAAGUGAACCGCCUGGGGAGUACGGCCGCAAGGUUAAAACUCAAAGGAUUUGACGGGGGCCCGCACAAGCGGUGGAGCAUGUGGUUUAAUUCGACGCAACGCGAAGAACCUUACCUGGAUUUGACAUCCCGGGAAUCCUAUCGAAAGACUGGAGUGCCCUUCGGGGAACCCGGGAAACAGUGCUGCAUGGCUGUCGUCAGCUCGUG